This 77-nucleotide transfer RNA is filed under the name Pseudomonadota bacterium. RNAcentral describes it as "tRNA-Pro". It matches the Rfam family "tRNA". Rfam says of the family: Transfer RNA (tRNA) molecules are approximately 80 nucleotides in length. Their secondary structure includes four short double-helical elements and three loops (D, anti-codon, and T loops). The record is from RNAcentral. RNAcentral also lists the same sequence under 3 other names. Lineage: Bacteria; Pseudomonadati; Pseudomonadota.
CGGGGCGUUGCACAGCCUGGUAGUGCGCCAGCUUUGGGAGCUGGAUGUCGUCGGUUCGAAUCCGGCCGCCCCGACCA